GUUAAGAAAUGGCUCGUUGUUCUCCUAUUUAUUUUGUUUUUCGUUUUGACACACUCAUCUUUUGACCUGCACCUGGUAUUCUGUGUAACCUCCGUGACAACAACAAUUGAGAGGCAAGAAAGGAUGAGAGAAAGGAAAGUUCACUCUAAGAGGCAAUAUACCUACCAUGUUUCCCCAGCAAGGUACAGCCUAUUCCAACUCAGUCAUACAAUCAUGGCAGAGGGGAGAAGUCCCAUAAUAGGUGGAUUCUUUACCAUUGCGCCACUUGGGAAGCCCCAUUAAACACUUUACCUACUUCACAUCCCCAACUGAAAGAUGAGGAGACAAACAGUUUUGGAAUUCUAUUCUUAACCAUUCACUGUGGAACAAAGGCUUUGGUGAUAAAAGAGACCAUAAUUCAAACCCUGCUGCUGCUGCUGCUGCUGCUGCUAAGUCGCUUCAGUCGUGUCUGACUCUGUGAGACCCCAUAGACGGCAGCCCACCAGGCUCCGCCAUCCCUGGGGUUCUCCAGGCAAGAACACUGGAGUGGG
Bubalus bubalis (water buffalo) is the source of this 530-nucleotide long non-coding RNA. RefSeq lists it as uncharacterized. The record is from RefSeq and is a predicted model, not a curated record. The transcript is spliced from 3 exons. NCBI's taxonomy places the organism in Eukaryota, Metazoa, Chordata, Mammalia, Artiodactyla, Bovidae.